This 253-nucleotide ribosomal RNA is filed under the name uncultured bacterium. RNAcentral's name for it is "partial 16S ribosomal RNA". It matches the Rfam family "Bacterial small subunit ribosomal RNA", at positions 524 to 776 of the family's 1533-position model. The record is from RNAcentral.
UACGAAGGGUGCAAACGUUGCUCGGAAUUAUUGGGCGUAAAGCGCACGUAGGCGGCAUUGCAAGUCGGAUGUGAAAUCUUAUGGCUUAACCAUAAAAGUGCAUCCGAAACUGCAGUGCUUGAGUACUUAAGAGGAUCGCGGAAUUCCCGGUGUAGAGGUGAAAUUCGUAGAUAUCGGGAGGAACACCAGUGGCGAAGGCAAUCCCCUGGGCCUGCACUGACGCUCAUGCACGAAAGCGUGGGGAGCAAACAGG